GGGGCCAUAGCUCAGCUGGGAGAGCACCUGCUUUGCAAGCAGGGGGUCGUCAGUUCGAUCCUGACUGGCUCCA
This is a non-coding RNA of Dyella jiangningensis, 73 nucleotides long. Lineage: Bacteria; Pseudomonadati; Pseudomonadota; Gammaproteobacteria; Lysobacterales; Rhodanobacteraceae. The record is from Rfam.